Molecule: ribosomal RNA, 253 nt
Filed under: uncultured bacterium
Lineage: Bacteria
Description: partial 16S ribosomal RNA
Rfam family: Bacterial small subunit ribosomal RNA
Source: RNAcentral
UACGGAGGGGGCUAGCGUUGUUCGGAGUUACUGGGCGUAAAGCGUGCGCAGGCGGUUAUGUAAGACAGGUGUGAAAUCCCCGGGCUUAACCUGGGAACUGCAUUUGUGACUGCAUAGCUAGAGUGUGGCAGAGGGGGGUGGAAUUCCACGUGUAGCAGUGAAAUGCGUAGAGAUGUGGAGGAACACCGAUGGCGAAGGCAGCCCCCUGGGUUAACACUGACGCUCAGGCACGAAAGCGUGGGGAGCAAACAGG